GAAUAGGUAAGCUAAACUAAGCUUUCGGGCUCAUAACCCGACAAUGGUAACCAUUCCCCUAUUCA
Molecule: transfer RNA, 65 nt
Filed under: Notodoris gardineri
Lineage: Eukaryota; Metazoa; Mollusca; Gastropoda; Nudibranchia; Polyceridae
Description: tRNA-Met
Source: RNAcentral